This 501-nucleotide ribosomal RNA is filed under the name uncultured bacterium. RNAcentral's name for it is "partial 16S ribosomal RNA". It matches the Rfam family "Bacterial small subunit ribosomal RNA", at positions 30 to 523 of the family's 1533-position model. The record is from RNAcentral.
AUUGAACGCUGGCGGCAGGCUUAACACAUGCAAGUCGAGCGGGGGAAGGUAGCUUGCUACCGGACCUAGCGGCGGACGGGUGAGUAAUGCUUAGGAAUCUGCCUAUUAGUGGGGGACAACAUCUCGAAAGGGAUGCUAAUACCGCAUACGUCCUACGGGAGAAAGCAGGGGAUCUUCGGACCUUGCGCUAAUAGAGGAGCCUAAGUCGGAUUAGCUAGUUGGUGGGGUAAAGGCCUACCAAGGCGACGAUCUGUAGCGGGUCUGAGAGGAUGGUCCGCCACACUGGGACUGAGACACGGCCCAGACUCCUACGGGAGGCAGCAGUGGGGAAUAUUGGACAAUGGGGGGAACCCUGAUCCAGCCAUGCCGCGUGUGUGAAGAAGGCCUUAUGGUUGUAAAGCACUUUAGGCGAGGAGGAGGCUACUUUAGUUAAUACCUAGAGAUAGUGGACGUUACUCGCAGAAUAAGCACCGGCUAACUCUGUGCCAGCCGCCGCAGUAA